This 443-nucleotide ribosomal RNA is filed under the name uncultured bacterium. RNAcentral's name for it is "partial 16S ribosomal RNA". It matches the Rfam family "Bacterial small subunit ribosomal RNA", at positions 338 to 795 of the family's 1533-position model. The record is from RNAcentral.
CCUACGGGAGGCAGCAGUGGGGAAUAUUGGGCAAUGGGCGCAAGCCUGACCCAGCAACGCCGCGUGAAGGAAGAAGGCUUUCGGGUUGUAAACUUCUUUUGUCAGGGACGAAGCACGUGACGGUACCUGACGAAUAAGCCACGGCUAACUACGUGCCAGCAGCCGCGGUACUACGUAGGUGGCAAGCGUUAUCCGGAUUUACUGGGUGUAAAGUGCGUGUAGGCGGGGAAGCAAGUCAGAUGUGAAAACCACGGGCUCAACCUGUGGCCUGCAUUUGAAACUGUUUUUCUUGAGGGCUGGAGAGGCAAUCGGAAUUCCGUGUGUAGCGGUGAAAUGCGUAGAUAUACGGAGGAACACCAGUGGCGAAGGCGGAUUGCUGGACAGUAACUGACGCUGAGGCGCGAAAGCGUGGGGAGCAAACAGGAUUAGAUACCCCUGUAGUC